Molecule: long non-coding RNA, 802 nt
Organism: Anser brachyrhynchus (Pink-footed goose)
Lineage: Eukaryota; Metazoa; Chordata; Aves; Anseriformes; Anatidae
Source: Ensembl
CCUCCCCGAGCCCCGCUGCCUCCCGCCUCCCUCCUCCCCGGCGCCCGCCUCCCCGCGGCGUGCCCGCCUCCCUCCCUCCGUCCCCCGGCCGGCAGCCGGGCAGCGGGCGGGCGCUGCCGCCGGCCCCACAGCACCGCGGCCGGGCUGCGCGGAGCGGAGCGGAGCGGAGCGGGGCUGGCUGGGCGGGGAGGGAGGGAGGGAGGGGAGUGGAUGUGUGUGUGUGUGGAAAGAGCGGGGGGGGGCGAAGGGGGGGAAAUCAAAUAAAUAAAUAAGCUCCCCACCAAUAAGAGAGGCAGCGGCUGGCGAGCAGGCUGGGCUCGGCUGGGAGAGGUCCUCGCUCGGCUGCGUGUUUGUUUGUGUUGUGACCAGAGCCGCGAAGUUCAGAGCCCAAACGUGUUGCUCCGCUCCGCUCCACCUGCUCGGCCGGCGGGGGGGUGCCGCUUCGGCCGCCCCGCCGCCCUCCGGGGCCGAAGGACGGGAGAGGAGCGCGGGGCCGCGCCCGCCGCCCGCCCGCCUUCCCCUCAGCCACCGCCGGGGAGGCGACGGACAGGUGUAUCUCCAGAAAAACAAAAAAUUAAUGACAGGAUCAGAAUACACUCUGGAUUUUCUUCCCAUGUGCAGACUACACCUGAAGUGUUGAAUUCACAUACAGCAACACCUUCCUGUAAAUACUCCAUUUCAGUAGAUCACCAGAAGGAACUGCAGCACAUUUCAAAGGUAAGGACCUCCUUAAAUAAUACUUCAAAUGUUCAUUCCUUCUGGUUUAUCAGCUAUAAAAGAAAAUGGAGAAUGUUAAUUCUUU